RNAcentral lists this non-coding RNA (24 nucleotides) under Arabidopsis thaliana (thale cress). RNAcentral also lists the same sequence under 8 other names. Lineage: Eukaryota; Viridiplantae; Streptophyta; Magnoliopsida; Brassicales; Brassicaceae. The record is from RNAcentral.
AGUGACGCGCAUGAAUGGAUUAAC